This is a non-coding RNA of Schistosoma mattheei, 46 nucleotides long. NCBI's taxonomy places the organism in Eukaryota, Metazoa, Platyhelminthes, Trematoda, Strigeidida, Schistosomatidae. The record is from Rfam.
GCACUGCUGAGGAGUCCCAUACUAGAACGAAACGGCUGUCCAGUGC